This 105-nucleotide microRNA precursor is filed under the name Canis lupus familiaris (dog). Its description in RNAcentral is "mir-8834 microRNA precursor family". It matches the Rfam family "mir-8834 microRNA precursor family". Lineage: Eukaryota; Metazoa; Chordata; Mammalia; Carnivora; Canidae. The record is from Rfam by way of RNAcentral. RNAcentral also lists the same sequence under 1 other name.
AGGAGCAACAGCCCCAGUGGCGGGGCCAGCUCUGGAGCCCUGGAUUCAGCCCCCGCAGGAACUCCGGAGCUCUCCGUCUGCAGGGCCUGGAGGCUCCGGGGCGGG